Zootermopsis nevadensis is the source of this 654-nucleotide long non-coding RNA. RefSeq lists it as uncharacterized. Lineage: Eukaryota; Metazoa; Arthropoda; Insecta; Blattodea; Termopsidae. The record is from RefSeq and is a predicted model, not a curated record.
GGCCGCGAAGAGGGGACAGAUAUAAUGGUCGGCCGGUUGCCGGGGACUCUUUCGCGGGAAGGGCCCCAUGGCCAGCCCGGCCGAGACGGAGUCUGGCAGAGACCUUGAGAAGCAGAGUUUGGAUGCUGCACAGACGGAGUCUCGCAUAGACUGGGUGUCAUUCAACGUUUAUGUGAAAGUGCGCUGUCACGGGGAGGCUGCCCGUGCCUCUGGCGGCAGAUUGCUAGAGGACAACUGCGUCUCUAUCUCAACCACACCCUCCCCUUCCAACUCACGUGACAUGUGACGGACGACCUUGAGAACAUCACAAGGAAACCCAAACAAUGAUUAGGAGAGAAAUGCAUCUGGGGUAAUGACAGAACAUCAUUUAGAAGCGGUGGAAUGAUGACUGUAGGUGCUAAGGAGCUAGUUGCUAUGAGAAACUGGCAGGGUGCUGGGGCCACCAACCUGUUCGCAAAUACUUAGAGUGGACGUGGGGAUUCCCCACUAAGUAAAGGAGAGCCACCAAAAUGUCUUACCUUGACGAAACAUCUCUCCAUGACACCAGCAGCAGCAAUCUCAAUGUAACAAGUAGAAACAGAACAAAAUAAAGAAAGCAAUUCUAUAAAACAAUAUUUUGUAUCUGACAUUACGUCAAUAAACAGUUUCACGAGA